RNAcentral lists this ribosomal RNA (253 nucleotides) under uncultured bacterium. Its description in RNAcentral is "partial 16S ribosomal RNA". It matches the Rfam family "Archaeal small subunit ribosomal RNA", at positions 474 to 727 of the family's 1478-position model. The record is from RNAcentral.
UACCAGCACCCCGAGUGGUCGGGACGAUUAUUGGGCCUAAAGCAUCCGUAGCCGGUCUUGCAAGUCUUCCGUUAAAUCCAGCUGCUUAACGGAUGGGCUGCGGAAGAUACUACAAGACUAGGAGGCGGGAGAGGCAAGCGGUACUCAGUGGGUAGGGGUAAAAUCCUCUGAUCCAUUGAAGACCACCAGUGGCGAAGGCGGCUUGCCAGAACGCGCUCGACGGUGAGGGAUGAAAGCUGGGGGAGCAAACAGG